This 444-nucleotide RNase P RNA is filed under the name Alphaproteobacteria bacterium. Its description in RNAcentral is "RNase P RNA component class A". It matches the Rfam family "Bacterial RNase P class A". Rfam says of the family: Ribonuclease P (RNase P) is a ubiquitous endoribonuclease, found in archaea, bacteria and eukarya as well as chloroplasts and mitochondria. Its best characterised activity is the generation of mature 5'-ends of tRNAs by cleaving the 5'-leader elements of precursor-tRNAs. Cellular RNase Ps are ribonucleoproteins. Lineage: Bacteria; Pseudomonadati; Pseudomonadota; Alphaproteobacteria. The record is from RNAcentral.
CCAGACGGCUGGACGGUCGCCGCCGCGCACUUUCGCAAGAUGGGGCGUGGGGGAGGAAAGUCCGGGCUCCACGAAAAAGCGGUGCCGGGUAACGCCCGGCGGGGGCGACCCCAGGGAAAGUGCCACAGAAAGUAAACCGCCGGGCCCCAGGAGAUUUAGGUCUUCGGGACCAGGUAAGGGUGAAAGGGUGCGGUAAGAGCGCACCGCGCGGCUGGUAACAGCCGUGGCAGGGUAAACCCCACCGGGAGCAAAAUCGAAUAGGGAUGGCGCGUCCCAUCCGGCUUCGGCCAGAAGGGACAGGCGUGUUCGCGCCGCCGUCCGGGUAGGUUGCACGAGGCGUUCGGCAACGGACGCCCUAGAUGAAUGACCGUCUAUCGGCGCGAUACAGCCUAAUGGUUGGGGCCGCGGCGGGGACAGAACCCGGCUUACAGGCCGUCUGGCGCC